Molecule: ribosomal RNA, 552 nt
Filed under: uncultured bacterium
Lineage: Bacteria
Description: bacterial SSU rRNA
Rfam family: Bacterial small subunit ribosomal RNA
Source: RNAcentral
UGGGGAAUCUUGGACAAUGGGGGCAACCCUGAUCCAGCCAUGCCGCGUGAGUGAUGAAGGCCUUAGGGUCGUAAAGCUCUUUCGCCUGUGAAGAUAAUGACGGUAGCAGGUAAAGAAACCCCGGCUAACUCCGUGCCAGCAGCCGCGGUAAUACGGAGGGGGUUAGCGUUGUUCGGAAUUACUGGGCGUAAAGCGCACGUAGGCGGACCAGAAAGUUGGGGGUGAAAUCCCGGGGGCUCAACCCCGGAACUGCCUCCAAAACUAUUGGUCUAGAGUUCGAGAGAGGUGAGUGGAAUUCCAAGUGUAGAGGUGAAAUUCGUAGAUAUUUGGAGGAACACCAGUGGCGAAGGCGGCUCACUGGCUCGAUACUGACGCUGAGGUGCGAAAGUGUGGGGAGCAAAACAGGAUUAGAUACCCUGGUAGUCCACACCGUAAAACGAUGAAUGCCAGUCGUCGGGUAGCAUGCUAUUCGGUGACACACCUAACGGAUUAAGCAUUCCGCCUGGGGCAGGUACGGUCGGCAAGAUUAAAACUCAAAAGGAUUGAACGGUU